Molecule: ribosomal RNA, 465 nt
Filed under: Vreelandella stevensii
Lineage: Bacteria; Pseudomonadati; Pseudomonadota; Gammaproteobacteria; Oceanospirillales; Halomonadaceae
Description: partial 16S ribosomal RNA
Rfam family: Bacterial small subunit ribosomal RNA
Source: RNAcentral
CCUACGGGUGUCAGCAGUGGGGAAUAUUGGACAAUGGGCGAAAGCCUGAUCCAGCCAUGCCGCGUGUGUGAAGAAGGCCUUCGGGUUGUAAAGCACUUUCAGUGGGGAAGAAAGCCUUGGGGCUAAUACCCUCGAGGAAGGACAUCACCCACAGAAGAAGCACCGGCUAACUCCGUGCCAGCAGCCGCGGUAAUACGGAGGGUGCGAGCGUUAAUCGGAAUUACUGGGCGUAAAGCGCGCGUAGGCGGUCUGAUAAGCCGGUUGUGAAAGCCCCGGGCUCAACCUGGGAACGGCAUCCGGAACUGUCAGGCUAGAGUGCAGGAGAGGAAGGUAGAAUUCCCGGUGUAGCGGUGAAAUGCGUAGAGAUCGGGAGGAAUACCAGUGGCGAAGGCGGCCUUCUGGACUGACACUGACGCUGAGGUGCGAAAGCGUGGGUAGCAAACAGGAUUAGAUACCCGAGUAGUC